UAGAUGGGUAUCCCUACAUAGCGGGUGGGACCCACGGCGAAUGGUUCAUCAAGUCUUCAAAAAAGAAUAUAUACGAUUGCAUUGCAAAUACUAACGGAUGCGAUCAUACCAGCACUAAUGCACCGGAUCCCAUCAGAACUCCGCAGUUAAGCGUGCUUGGGCGAGAGUAGUACUAGGAUGGGUGACCUCCCGGGAAGUCCUCGUGUUGCAUCUCCUU
This 217-nucleotide ribosomal RNA is filed under the name Arabidopsis thaliana (thale cress). The record is from RNAcentral. Lineage: Eukaryota; Viridiplantae; Streptophyta; Magnoliopsida; Brassicales; Brassicaceae.